GGGGGUGUGGCUCAGUGAUAGAGCAUUUGCCUGGCAUGAAUGAGGCCCUGGGUUCCAUUUCCAGCACCACAA
RNAcentral lists this transfer RNA (72 nucleotides) under Marmota marmota marmota (Alpine marmot). It matches the Rfam family "tRNA". From Rfam's summary of the family: Transfer RNA (tRNA) molecules are approximately 80 nucleotides in length. Their secondary structure includes four short double-helical elements and three loops (D, anti-codon, and T loops). Further hydrogen bonds mediate the characteristic L-shaped molecular structure. tRNAs have two regions of fundamental functional importance: the anti-codon, which is responsible for specific mRNA codon recognition, and the 3' end, to which the tRNAs corresponding amino acid is attached (by aminoacyl-tRNA synthetases). tRNAs cope with the degeneracy of the genetic code in two manners: having more than one tRNA (with a specific anti-codon) for a particular amino acid; and 'wobble' base-pairing, i.e. permitting non-standard base-pairing at the 3rd anti-codon position. RNAcentral also lists the same sequence under 1 other name. Lineage: Eukaryota; Metazoa; Chordata; Mammalia; Rodentia; Sciuridae. The record is from Rfam by way of RNAcentral.